UUCAUCAAAUGAGGAAAUGGAACAUUAUCUUAGGACACCUUCUUACAUAGCCUCAGAGCUGUGGAUGAGAGAUACUUGAAUCUGAUGAUGAA
This is a small nucleolar RNA of Cryptomeria japonica (Japanese cedar), 92 nucleotides long. RefSeq annotates it as small nucleolar RNA snoR31/Z110/Z27. The transcript has a single exon. The record is from RefSeq and is a predicted model, not a curated record. Lineage: Eukaryota; Viridiplantae; Streptophyta; Pinopsida; Cupressales; Cupressaceae.